RNAcentral lists this ribosomal RNA (960 nucleotides) under uncultured marine bacterium. RNAcentral's name for it is "bacterial SSU rRNA". It matches the Rfam family "Bacterial small subunit ribosomal RNA", at positions 55 to 1059 of the family's 1533-position model. The record is from RNAcentral.
AUGCAAGUCGAACGAAGUAGCAAUACUUAGUGGCAGACGGGUGAGUAACAUGUAGGUAUCUUCCCUUUGGUGAGGAAUAACACGAGGAAACUUGUGCUAAUACCUCAUAAGUCUUUACGGAGAAAGCUUUAUGCGCCAUAGGAUGAGCCUGCACUUGAUUAGUUUGUUGGUGGGGUAACGGCCUACCAAGACUUUGAUCAAUAGCUGAUCUGAGAGGAUGAUCAGCCACAUUGGGACUGAGACACGGCCCAAACUCCUACGGGAGGCAGCAGUAGGGAAUAUUGCACAAUGGAGGAAACUCUGAUGCAGCGAUGCCGCGUGAGUGAAGAAGGCCUUUGGGUUGUAAAGCUCUUUCGUCGGGGAAGAAAAUGACUGUACCCGAAUAAGAAGGUCCGGCUAACUUCGUGCCAGCAGCCGCGGUAAUACGAAGGGACCUAGCGUAGUUCGGAAUUACUGGGCUUAAAGAGUUCGUAGGUGGUUAAAAAAGUUGGUGGUGAAAUCCCAGAGCUUAACUCUGGAACUGCCAUCAAAACUUUUUAGCUAGAGUAUGAUAGAGGAAAGCAGAAUUUCUAGUGUAGAGGUGAAAUUCGUAGAUAUUAGAAAGAAUACCAAUUGCGAAGGCAGCUUUCUGGAUCAUUACUGACGCUGAGGAACGAAAGCAUGGGUAGCGAAGAGGAUUAGAUACCCUCGUAGUCCAUGCCGUAAACGAUGUGUGCUAGACGUUGGAAAUUUAUUUUCAGUGUCGCAGCGAAAGCAUUAAACACACCGCCUGGGGAGUACGACCGCAAGGUUAAAACUCAAAUGAAUUGACGGGGACCCGCACAAGUAGUGGAGCAUGUGGUUUAAUUCGAAGAUACGCGCAGAACCUUACCAACACUUGACAUGUUCGUCGCGACUUUAAGAGAUUAAAGUUUUCGGUUCGGCCGGACGAAACACAGGUGCUGCAUGGCUGUCGUCAGC